This 1608-nucleotide long non-coding RNA is filed under the name Carica papaya (papaya). Its description in RNAcentral is "long non-coding RNA (CPAP_LNC002756)". Lineage: Eukaryota; Viridiplantae; Streptophyta; Magnoliopsida; Brassicales; Caricaceae. The record is from RNAcentral.
AAAACUCCCAUAAAUCCCAACAAAAAUGAAAACGGAGAAGGAAGGUAAAGUGACAGAAACUGUGAGAAACAAAUACAGUCACGCGGAAGCAAAAACCUACCGGUCCUCAUAUUGAAUUUCUCUCCCAGAUCAUUACCUUCCUCGUUUUCUUUCCAUCUUCUGAUCCUCUCUCGUGAACUGCCCCAUUUAGUUCCUUAUUCUUUUUAAUAAUGACAGUUUUGGCAUUUUUAGAGGAUUCUCUUUUGGUGAUCCAUUGUGGAAAUGAGAGGAAGGUCGUUUCGUUUGACAAGAGAUAGAUUUGGUCUUUCGGCCCAGCGAUAAAGAAGAUUGGGAAAUAUAGAGGAAUUGUUUCUCCUUUGAUUCACAACAUGAGCCCGCAAAGGCUGGCGACUAUUCGUGAUUUGGUGGAGGAAGCGAAGAAGCGGAUUGUGUUUCUGGUUAUAUGCGUUGUCGGCUUAUCUUACCUCAUGUCACGUAAGUUUCCGAUGUCUUCCUUGAUCGAAUUAUUUUCGUGCAUUUUUCUUUUUCAUUCUUAUUCCAGUUUGAUUAUUCCGUAUAGUAGCAGAUAUUAAAGCUCGAUUCUUUAGGGUUUUAUACGGUGAAAAUGUAAAGGUAAGAGUGGUAACUUCACAAUACGUGAGGUUUUGGUAGCGAGUAAUACGCACGUCUUAGACAUGUUGAAGUUUUCGUUUGUUCUAGAUGCUAUAAGUGUUAACCUUGAGGGCUACUAUUUUUUUUUUUUUUUUCUCUUUUCAAACAAUUCUGCGUCAAAUUUUUGGUGUUCGCGCAGACUAUAAUUGGCAGGAGAAAGAAGUGAGAGCAAGAUAAUUUUCCUCCAAACAUUCCUGAUUAUUGAGGGAAAAGAAAACUGUGGAUAUUGGAGUUUUCUUUCCACGAGUUGAAUGUGGAAAGUGAAAUGAAGUAGUUUUUUUUAAGAUAAAAAUGAAAUGAAGUAGUUCUUUUUGUUUUUUCCCCAUUCGUUCUCUUUCUCCUUCGACUUCUCCAUCUUCUCUAAUAAGGACAUGAUAAAAAGUUCAAUAUUUUUCUAUUUUUCUUUUCAUAUACGAUUAUAUUGUUUGGGUAAACAGCAUUCGUUAUAGUUUCAGUAAAAGGGUUAUAUGUCCUUUCAAAAGAAAAAAAAAAUUCAUAUUCUAUAUGCUGAUAAUGCAUCAACUUAUGUAGUUUCAGCAUUGGUUAUCUUGUGUUAUAUAAUGCACCAACUUGUGCUGCAGAUGUGAAUCCAGAAAGUAACAUGCUAUAAAGUUGUUGUGAACUCUAAAACUUAGACCAGGUGAUGGAACAAAAUCUUAGACACACCUGUUAGAUUGCAGCCGAACCUUAAAAAAGAUAAAGAUAACAAUGAAGUUACAACCUUCCGUUUUGGCAUCUUUCAUCACAACUGAUAUCGGCAUCUUCAAGAUGUCAGUAUCUGUUGACCAGUUGCUAUUGUCUUUUCCUACAAUUCAUGAAUAACUUUCUAACAUAUCAUGAACCUUUGAGCUAGGAAAUGUUGUGCAAACUUACUGGUUUUUCACGAGCUAAAUUACUUCAGGUGUUGAAGUCAGUGGAGGGUUCUUGCUUUACUCUGAUUUUUUUUCAUGUUUAUAG